RNAcentral lists this ribosomal RNA (274 nucleotides) under uncultured bacterium. RNAcentral describes it as "partial 16S ribosomal RNA". It matches the Rfam family "Bacterial small subunit ribosomal RNA", at positions 523 to 796 of the family's 1533-position model. The record is from RNAcentral.
AUACGGAGGGUGCAAGCAUUAAUCGGAAUUAUUGGGCGUAAAGGGCGCGUAGGCGGAUUGGUAAGUCAGAUGUGAAAUUCCGAAGCUCAACUUCGGAGCUGCAUUUGAAACUACCAGUCUAGAGGAUUGACGGAGAAAACGGAAUUCCACGUGUAGCGGUGAAAUGCGUAGAUAUGUGGAAGAACACCUGUGGCGAAAGCGGUUUUCUAGUUUAUUCCUGACGCUAAGGCGCGAGAGCUAGGGGAGCAAACAGGAUUAGAAACCCCGGUAGUCC